This is a non-coding RNA of Phoenix dactylifera (date palm), 672 nucleotides long. The record is from RefSeq and is a predicted model, not a curated record. NCBI's taxonomy places the organism in Eukaryota, Viridiplantae, Streptophyta, Magnoliopsida, Arecales, Arecaceae.
UUUUUUUCUUUCUUUUUCUUCUCCUCCUCUUCUCUUCUCCCGAUUUCUCCUUCCCCCUUUCUUCCCAUUUCUUCUCCCAUGGAGGGAGGAGGGCGAGCUCGGGAGGCUUGGGGAGAACGGGCAGCGGCUGAUGGCGCCCGGCGGCCGGCCUGCGGCGCCCACGGCCACACCCGCGGCCGUGCUCGGGGGCGCGUCGGCGGCCCGCGGCCGCGUCUGCCUCCCACUGCCGGCGACCCGCGUCCCACGGCCGACGACCCGCGGCCCACGGCCGAGGCCGGCGCCCGCGGUUGCGGCUACGGAUCAACCACCAGGAGAAGGUGAACGAGAUAAACAUGAAUGCAGAAUAUAAAUAUAUGUGCCACUCGGCAAAUGAACAUGGAGAUUUAGCAGAAGAGAAGGAAAAUAGUCUCUAUUGCUGAGAACUACAGAAAGCUAUAUUUGUUGCUAACUGCGAAUAGUGCUGAAAAAGGCAGAAUUGGACACUCGACCAACAAGCAGUCAUAUUUUUGCCUUUGUAUAUGGAGAUAAUAAACAAUGGUAUCAACAAUAGCAAUAGUGAUGCCUAAUUAUCCUCCUAAGAUACAAUAGUAACAAUAACUACUGUAGAACUUAUUAUUUGUCUUUGUUGUUGUAGCUGUUGUUGCUGUUGUUUCUAUUGUUGCUGUUAUUAAA